GACCACAUCGCGCAAGCGGUAUUGGGGCUUGCAUUCCUGCAUCCCUUAAAAACAUUGGCGGUGCUAUAAAGCUCUCAGCGUAGUAAUUAUUCCGCUGUUGAGUGCUAGAAACACUUGCCAAUAACCCCCAACUUUCUCA
Molecule: unclassified non-coding RNA, 139 nt
Filed under: uncultured Ascomycota
Lineage: Eukaryota; Fungi; Ascomycota
Description: sequence contains ITS2
Source: RNAcentral